AGACGGGGGGUGCUAGCGUUGUUCGGAAUUACUGGGCGUAAAGGGCGCGUAGGCGGCUCUGCGAGUCGGGCGUGAAAUCCCGGGGCUCAACCCCGGAACGGCGCUCGAUACUGCGGGGCUGGAGACCGGAAGAGGAGGGUGGAAUUCCCAGUGUAGAGGUGAAAUUCGUAGAUAUUGGGAGGAACACCGGUGGCGAAAGCGGCUCUCUGGUCCGGUUCUGACGCUGAGGCGCGAAAGCGUGGGGAGCAAACAGGAUUAGAUACCCCAGUAGUCC
RNAcentral lists this ribosomal RNA (274 nucleotides) under uncultured bacterium. RNAcentral's name for it is "partial 16S ribosomal RNA". It matches the Rfam family "Bacterial small subunit ribosomal RNA", at positions 523 to 796 of the family's 1533-position model. The record is from RNAcentral.